GCCCGCUCAGAAACUUAAAGGAAUUGACGGGGGCCCGCACAAGCGGUGGAGCAUGUGGUUUAAUUCGACGCAACGCGAAGAACCUUACCAGGGCUUGACAUCUUCUGAUCGCUUUAAGGAAACUUAAGCUUUCCGGAAGGUUUACUUUCCGGACAGAAAGACAGGUGGUGCAUGGUUGUCGUCAGCUCGUGCCGUGAGGUGUCGGGUUAAGUCCCAUAACGAGCGCAACCCCUAUCGUUAGUUGCUAGCAGGUAAUGCUGAGGACUCUAGCGAAACUGCCGGUGUAAACCGAGAGGAAGGUGGGGAUGACGUCAAAUCAGCACGGCCCUUAUGUCCAGGGCUACACACGUGUUACAAUGGCCGGUACAAUGGGCAGCUACCUGGUGACAGGAUGCUAAUCUCCAAAGCCGGUCUCAGUUCGGAUCGGAGUCUGCAACUCGACUCCGUGAAGUUGGAUUCGCUAGUAAUCGUAUAUCAGCAAUGAUACGGUGAAUACGUUCCCGGGCCUU
Molecule: ribosomal RNA, 509 nt
Filed under: uncultured Sphingobacteriales bacterium
Lineage: Bacteria; Pseudomonadati; Bacteroidota; Sphingobacteriia; Sphingobacteriales
Description: bacterial SSU rRNA
Rfam family: Bacterial small subunit ribosomal RNA
Source: RNAcentral